Molecule: unclassified non-coding RNA, 217 nt
Filed under: plant metagenome
Description: partial contains small subunit ribosomal RNA, internal transcribed spacer 1, and 5.8S ribosomal RNA
Rfam family: 5.8S ribosomal RNA (bases 169-217)
Source: RNAcentral
UCUCCGUUGGUGAACCAGCGGAGGGAUCAUUACCGAGUGCAAACUCAUAACCCUUUGUGAACCUAUAUCUGUUGCUUCGGCGGCUCGCUCUCGGGCGAGCCCGCCGGUAAUAUCAGUAUCUCUGUUUGAACCCGACGAUACUUCUGAGUGUUCUUAGCGAACAGUUAAAACUUUUAACAACGGAUCUCCUGGCUCUAGCAUCGAUGAAGAACGCAAC